UACAAGUAGCGAAGUCCGUGAGCCAUGCGUCAAGAAAAGCCGCUAUUGUUUAUACCGUACCCGUACCGUAAACCGACACAGGUGGAUGAGGAGAGAAUCCUAAGGCCGGCGGAAGAAGCAUUGUCAAGGAACUCGGCAAAAUGACCCCGUAACUUCGGGAGAAGGGGUGCCACUGAGAAGUGGCCGCAGAGAAUAGGCUCAAGCAACUGUUUAGCAAAAACACAGGUCUAUGCGAAACCGAAAGGUGAGGUAUAUGGGCUGACGCCUGCCCGGUGCUGGAAGGUUAAGAGGAGAGGUUAGCGCAAGCGAAGCUUUGAAUUUAAGCCCCAGUAAACGGCGGCCGUAACGAUAACGGUCCUAAGGUAGCGAAAUUCCUUGUCGGGUAAGUUCCGACCCGCACGGAAGGCGUAAUGAUUUGAGCGCUGUCUCGACAAUGCAUCCGGUGAAAUUGAAGUACCAGUGAAGAUGCUGGUUACCUGCGCCAGGACGGAAAGACCCCAUGGAGCUUUACUCCAGUUUGGUACUGGGGUCCGGUAUUGCAUGUACAGGAUAGGUGGGAGGCUAGGAAGCAGUAACGCCAGUUGCUGCGGAGCCGCUGUUGGGAUACCACCCUUGCAGUACUGGGCUUCUAACCAGCCGCCGUGAACCGGCGGUGGGACAAUGCCAGACGGGGAGUUUGACUGGGGCGGUCGCCUCCGAAAGGGUAUCGGAGGCGCCCAAAGGUUCCCUCAGAAUGGACGGAAACCAUUCGAAGAGUGCAAAGGCAGAAGGGAGCUUGACUGCGACACCGACGGGUGGAGCAGGUACGAAAGUAGGGCUUAGUGAUCCGGUGGUAUUAAGUGGGAAUGCCAUCGCUCAACGGAUAAAAGCUACCCUGGAUAACAGGCUUAUCACUCCCAAGAGUUCACAUCGACGGAGUGGUUUGGCACCUCGAUGUCGGCUCAUCGCAUCCUGGGGCUGUAGUAGGUCCCAAGGGUUGGGCUGUUCGCCCAUUAAAGCGGUACGCGAGCUGGGUUCAGAACGUCGUGAGACAGUUCGGUCCCUAUCCGGCGUGGGCGUAGGAUAUCUGAGAGGAGCUGUCCUUAGUACGAGAGGACCGGGAUGGACGGACCGCUGGUGUACCGGUUAGACUGCCAAGUCUACGGCCGGGUAGCCAAGUCCGGAAGGGAUAAACGCUGAAGGCAUCUAGGCGUGAAGCCCUCCUCAAGAUGAGAUGUCCCAUUCGAAAGAAGUAAACCCCCUUGAAGACGACGAGGUAGAUAGGGCAGGGGUGGAAGUGUGGUAACACAUGGAGCUGACUGUUACUAAUAGGGUGAGGGCUUGACCG
Molecule: ribosomal RNA, 1327 nt
Filed under: metagenome
Description: bacterial LSU rRNA
Rfam family: Bacterial large subunit ribosomal RNA
Source: RNAcentral